CGGGAGUAACUAUGACUCUCUUAA
RNAcentral lists this non-coding RNA (24 nucleotides) under Drosophila melanogaster (fruit fly). Lineage: Eukaryota; Metazoa; Arthropoda; Insecta; Diptera; Drosophilidae. RNAcentral also lists the same sequence under 5 other names. The record is from RNAcentral.